Molecule: ribosomal RNA, 799 nt
Filed under: Lagenidium albertoi
Lineage: Eukaryota; Oomycota; Peronosporomycetes; Pythiales; Pythiaceae
Description: eukaryotic LSU rRNA
Rfam family: 5.8S ribosomal RNA (bases 217-371)
Source: RNAcentral
CAUUACCACACCUAAAAAACUUUUCACGUGAACCGUUCUAUUAGUUUUGUGCUUCUGCUGUAACUGCUAAUCUGCCUUUGGUGGAAUAGUGGAUGCGGUGGAGGCUGAACGAAGGUUGAUUUUGGCGAAAGCUAGAGUCAGCUGAUGAACUUUUAAACCCUUACCUAAUUACUGAUUAAUACUCUAGGAACGAAAGUUCUUAGUUUUAAAGACAACAACUUUCAGCAGUGGAUGUCUAGGCUCGCACAUCGAUGAAGAACGCUGCGAACUGCGAUACGUAAUGCGAAUUGCAGAAUUCAGUGAGUCAUCGAAAUUUUGAACGCAUAUUGCACUUCCGGGUUAUGCCUGGGAGUAUGCCUGUAUCAGUGUCCGUAAAUCAAAAUUGCCUUUCUUUUUCUGUGUAGUCAGGAUUGGAAAUGGCAGAAUGUGAAGUGUCUCGAACGCUAACCUCUAUGGUUAAUGGUUGAGUCCUUUUAAAUCGACACUGUCUCGCUAUAUAGUUACUGUGAUUUGUUUCGCAUGAACGCUGUGAUCUACUGAUCGCUUGCACGUGUUAGCAAUCCAGUGAGAACAUAUAGGGUGAACCUCAAUUUGCGGUAUGUUUGGCUUCGGCUUGACAAUCUUGCUUAUUGUGUGGAUCCUGUUUUUGCUGUGAUAUACUGAUGUGUGUGGGCUUGAACGGUAUUUUGCUGUUUAGUAAUGUGUUACUGCUGGUAGCGCCGUUUACGGUUUUAGUGAGAAGUCCAGUUGGGAAACCAAUAUGGUGAGAAAUCACUGUAUCUCAAUUGGACCUGAUAUC